CGGGCGGGCGGCGUCGGCGCACUGCCCUCCCCGGAGACAGCGGAGCGUUUCAGCGGCCGCCGGGAACUUGCUGACUCUUCACAUUGCGACUGUCAAGAGUGAACAGUUACCUGAAAAAACCAAGAAGAACCCUCAGUUCAUGGACUGACCAGUUAAAAGAAAAAUACAAAAGAUGAAAAUAAACCAUGAGUUCUCAUGACAGAAGGAUUAUUCCACAAGGAUUCAUACCUAACACUUAAAUGUUCACAGUUCAUAAGUGAACCAGGAAAAGGCAUGAAUGACGACGUGACAACAUUUGAGGAAUGUAUCUAAUAAUUCAGAUCUAAAGUUGAUUGAAAAAUACUGCAAGAGGCUUCCACGACACUGUGACCUCCUGCAUAUGAAAGAUCUUCUACAUAAACAUCCACAAAUGAGAAUCAUAUGCAAUUUCUGCCAGCCCAAAUGGGCCCCUCCAUGCCAAGGAAACUGGUGAACAACCUCCAGCGAAGUGUCCAAGGAGAUGAACCAUGGAGCACCUACACAGCAGGUGUGGGUGCAGUAACCUGCUGCUGGAUGGUGACAAGCAAUGAGACACUGUAUCUUCAUCAGUUCCAGCUAUGUCAGGAAGGAAACAUCAAUCUGCUGCCCUGCUGAUGGCUAAACCAGUAUAAACAGAUCUAACCAUGCUAAACCCUUGACUGCACACAACCAUGUGUACUAUACUUGCUAUAUUGAUUUGAAAAUCAAUGAUGCUAAGUGGGUAACCCCCCUGUGUAAACAUAUUUAUAGCACUCUAAAGGAUUUUUUCCCACCAGUGUGAUAUUCCUAUAAAUUUAUCUCUAAUACCAUUUUAUCUAAUACCAAUUUUAUCAUAAUCUACAGCAUGAAGUAGUGUUGCAUCCUGAGCCAAUAUAUAAGCAUUAAAGAUGAGUAUCUUAUCUCUA
Corapipo altera (White-ruffed manakin) is the source of this 923-nucleotide long non-coding RNA. RefSeq lists it as uncharacterized. The record is from RefSeq and is a predicted model, not a curated record. The transcript has 5 exons. NCBI's taxonomy places the organism in Eukaryota, Metazoa, Chordata, Aves, Passeriformes, Pipridae.